Molecule: unclassified non-coding RNA, 739 nt
Filed under: uncultured Prochlorococcus sp.
Lineage: Bacteria; Bacillati; Cyanobacteriota; Cyanophyceae; Synechococcales; Prochlorococcaceae
Description: partial 16S-23S ribosomal RNA intergenic spacer; may also contain 16S ribosomal RNA and 23S ribosomal RNA
Rfam family: tRNA (bases 344-416)
Source: RNAcentral
UUGUGGAGAAGGACGCCGAAGGUGGGGCUGAUGACUGGGGUGAAGUCGUAACAAGGUAGCCGUACCGGAAGGUGCGGCUGGAUCACCUCCUAACAGGGAGACAAUAAAUUGAUUGUGAUGUCUAAGUUAUUUAUUCUUAGGCCGCAAUCCUGUCACCUUAAGGUCGAUCGGUACCUCAGAUUUUUGAACUAGUUUUAUAAUUGAUUCUUUGAUUUCAGUUCCUAAACUUGUCUAGGUCACACCCAACAAAGGUUUCUCCUGGGCCAUUAGCUCGGGUGGUUAGAGCGCACCCCUGAUAAGGGUGAGGUCCCUGGUUCAAGUCCAGGAUGGCCCAUUCGUUGUUGGGGGUAUAGCUCAGUUGGUAGAGCGCCUGCUUUGCAAGCAGGAUGUCAGCGGUUCGAGUCCGCUUACCUCCACUGAAAACUAUCCUGAUAACUAAAUUUCUGGAGAAAAAAAUUGUAGAUGUGGCUUAGAAUUGUCUAUUUGAAAAGAACCUAGCUUCUUGUCAUCUUUAUAUAGUUGAUAAAAUGCUGGGCUCGCAUGGAUUAUUUCCAUGAGAAUUCAGUAGAACCUUGAAAACUGCAUAGAUUAGAAAGAAUAAAGCAUCUCAUGGAUGCAUAGUUCUGUUUUUAUAAUUUAGCCUUAAAACUAAAUUAUUUAAUUCUAGAAUUCAUGUUUAAUUCUUGAGUAAUAGCCGAGCACAAUUGAUUUUGUGAUUGUAUUUAAGGUCAAGCUACAA